Non-coding RNA from Danio rerio (zebrafish), 142 nucleotides. NCBI's taxonomy places the organism in Eukaryota, Metazoa, Chordata, Actinopteri, Cypriniformes, Danionidae. The record is from RefSeq and is a predicted model, not a curated record.
AGGUGUGUUGGUGUAAAAAGUGAUGCUGACUGAACUCAGGCAGUUGUGUUGGACCCUCUGUACCUUAUACAGGAGAUGACGGUAAACUUUGAAGUUUAAGAGGUUCUGUAAUUUUGGUUAUAAGUACAAGGUGUGUUGGUGU